RNAcentral lists this long non-coding RNA (606 nucleotides) under Cricetulus griseus (Chinese hamster). RNAcentral describes it as "lncRNA (ENSCGRG00015029997.1)". Lineage: Eukaryota; Metazoa; Chordata; Mammalia; Rodentia; Cricetidae. The record is from RNAcentral.
CAUCGCUGGAGUUCCCUGAAUAACUUGCUAAGCCAGAGUCACCAGAGGGAGGGGCCUCAUGAGGCUGGUAGCUCUCUCAGUUUCUGGAAACUGCUGUGUUUUGUUAGCUUCCUGAGAGGCCUGCGAGCCUCCCUCCAGGAAGCAAUGCUCCUGUUCAGAGGAAUGGAUACAUUCUGCUAAGUCUUUUCAUGUUGCCUAGGAAAUGGACAAUCAGAAUGAUCACCACAUAAAAGCAGGUGACUUGAGCGUGGAGGAGACAAAGGUAUGAAUAGGGAGCUUCCUACAAGUUGUAGGGUACCACAUACCUCACCCUGAAGCAAACCUUUGCUACAAAUUGGAAGCCAACCUACUUAAGUAUUUGGUGUGUUGAAUUCAGCCUUUACUUCCCGCCUGAAGGAGAUGCACUGGGACUUAGAAACCAUCAGAUACCACCCUUGCAGAGCCUUCAUCCAGCAGCUGAUGGAAGUAGAAGCAGACACCCACAGCUAAACACUGAACUGAACUCUGGAAUCCAUUUGCAGAGAAGGAGGAGUGAUGAGCAAAGUGGACAAGACCAGGCUGGAGAAACCCACAGAAACAGCUGACCCAAACAAGGGGGAGCUCAUU